RNAcentral lists this ribosomal RNA (465 nucleotides) under uncultured bacterium. RNAcentral describes it as "bacterial SSU rRNA". It matches the Rfam family "Bacterial small subunit ribosomal RNA", at positions 339 to 796 of the family's 1533-position model. The record is from RNAcentral.
CUACGGGAGGCAGCAGUGGGGAAUUUUGGACAAUGGGGGCAACCCUGAUCCAGCCAUGCCGCGUGAGUGAAGAAGGCCUUCGGGUUGUAAAGCUCUUUCGGCCGGGAAGAAAUCGCACAGGCUAAUACCUUGUGUGGAUGACGGUACCGGAAUAAGAAGCACCGGCUAACUACGUGCCAGCAGCCGCGGUAAUACGUAGGGUGCGAGCGUUAAUCGGAAUUACUGGGCGUAAAGGGUGCGCAGGCGGUUUUGUAAGACAGGUGUGAAAUCCCCGGGCUUAACCUGGGAACUGCGCUUGUGACUGCAAGACUUGAGUGCGGCAGAGGGGGGUGGAAUUCCACGUGUAGCAGUGAAAUGCGUAGAGAUGUGGAGGAACACCGAUGGCGAAGGCAGCCCCCUGGGUUGACACUGACGCUGAGGCACGAAAGCGUGGGGAGCAAACAGGAUUAGAAACCCGUGUAGUCC